UGGCGAACGGGUGAGUAACACGUGAGCAACGUGCCCAAGACUCUGGAAUAACUUCGGGAAACCGGAGCUAAUACUGGAUACGAGACGUAAAGGCAUCUUUAGCGUCUGGAAAGAAUUUCGGUCUUGGAUCGGCUCACGGCCUAUCAGCUUGUUGGUGAGGUAAUGGCUCACCAAGGCGACGACGGGCAGCCGGCCUGAGAGGGUGACCGGCCACACUGGGACUGAGACACGGCCCAG
RNAcentral lists this ribosomal RNA (237 nucleotides) under uncultured Actinomycetes bacterium. Its description in RNAcentral is "uncultured actinobacterium partial 16S ribosomal RNA". It matches the Rfam family "Bacterial small subunit ribosomal RNA", at positions 96 to 334 of the family's 1533-position model. Lineage: Bacteria; Bacillati; Actinomycetota; Actinomycetes. The record is from RNAcentral.